UGGCUCAGAUGGUAGAGCAUCUGCCCGCAAUGCGGGAGACCCAGGUUCGAUCCCUGG
RNAcentral lists this transfer RNA (57 nucleotides) under Bos taurus (domestic cattle). It matches the Rfam family "tRNA", at positions 8 to 63 of the family's 71-position model. Rfam says of the family: Transfer RNA (tRNA) molecules are approximately 80 nucleotides in length. RNAcentral also lists the same sequence under 4 other names. The record is from Rfam by way of RNAcentral. Lineage: Eukaryota; Metazoa; Chordata; Mammalia; Artiodactyla; Bovidae.